UAGAGCGGGACAAAACUUACGGUGCGAAACGACGCGUCAUGGCAAUACCGGACGGAGGAGUGUGGUACCUACGCGGUGAUGAAGAUUCUCGCCGCGCUGCCGCCGCAGAUUGAUGGCGAACGAAUCGAAUCCACCAACGACGAGGCUGGUCACAGGUGCGACAGUAAUAUUUUAUUAUAAUAUGUAUUUAUUAUUUUCACAUAAAUUUUGCUGUUGUAUUAUUUAAUCUAUAUGAGUGAUAAUAUGAAAUGAAACAUUGGUAUAAUGUAUAAUUAUGUACCUACUCUAAAGACGUUUUAUGACAUUGACGCACUUAUUUAUAGUAAUUGUUAUUACAAAUAAAAUUUGUUUGACUUA
Ostrinia nubilalis (European corn borer) is the source of this 357-nucleotide long non-coding RNA. RefSeq lists it as uncharacterized. Lineage: Eukaryota; Metazoa; Arthropoda; Insecta; Lepidoptera; Crambidae. The record is from RefSeq and is a predicted model, not a curated record. The transcript is spliced from 2 exons.